Molecule: long non-coding RNA, 644 nt
Organism: Spinacia oleracea (spinach)
Lineage: Eukaryota; Viridiplantae; Streptophyta; Magnoliopsida; Caryophyllales; Amaranthaceae
Exons: 3
Source: RefSeq, a predicted model, not a curated record
GUGAAAUUUUUUAAUUUUUUUUUUUUGGUCAACGCCGGAAUCCAAGAGUUGACCACCGGAAAAUCACUCCUGGUCCUUAUUGACAACAAAAAAUCACUAUUAGGCCUUCUUUCCCCACUUUUUUUUAUUAAAAGGUCCUUUUUGACAAUUUUUUGGUUUUGAAAGGUCCUUUCUGACAAAUUUUCCACAAAAAAAACAACAAAAAUUUAUCAAUUCCCCUCAAAAAAAAAAAAAAAAAAAAAAACUCUCCGCUCCUCUCCUCUCUUCUUUCGCCCAAAAUGCUAAUAUAGAACUAAAAAAAUCUCUAUGUUGUCAAUGUAUUUCAAAUAAGAAAGUGAAAUCAUCGAAGAACAAGCUGUCUACAGGUUCUAUAUGGUUACAGCGGGAAAGACAACAUCAUCCUUGUUUUUUCUGGUUCUUUAGGACAUAAAAGCGUGCUUCCCUUGCCAAUUAAGGUGAAAUUAAUAUCCCCGAAUGAAGGAGCUUAUUGAGAAGUGUCUGGUCCUUGCUUCAGAAAGAUUGCCUGCAAAGGAGCUACUCAAGGACCGUUUUAAUUCAAAAGAGUCCAUAUAUUGAGAUAGCUAACCAACUCUUCAAUUCACCUGUUGCUCCAACUUCAACGUCUCAUUCCUAGACCUGGUUAU